This 511-nucleotide ribosomal RNA is filed under the name uncultured bacterium. RNAcentral describes it as "bacterial SSU rRNA". It matches the Rfam family "Bacterial small subunit ribosomal RNA", at positions 28 to 528 of the family's 1533-position model. The record is from RNAcentral.
GACGAACGCUGGCGGCGCGCCUAACACAUGCAAGUCGAACGGAGAAGUUAGCAAUAACUUUUUAGUGGCGAACGGGUGAGUAACGCGUAGACAACCAACCUUACAGCGGGGGACAACACUUCGAAAGGAGUGCUAAUACCGCAUACGCUCCUGUGUUCGCAUGGAUGGAGGAGGAAAGGAGCCGCAAGGCUUCACUGUAAGACGGGUCUGCGUCUGAUUAGCUAGUUGGCGGGGUAACGGCCCACCAAGGCGACGAUCAGUAGCCGGUCUGAGAGGAUGAACGGCCACACUGGGACUGAGACACGGCCCAGACUCCUACGGGAGGCAGCAGUGGGGAAUCUUCCGCAAUGGACGAAAGUCUGACGGAGCGACGCCGCGUGAGUGAUGAAGGCCCUUGGGUCGUAAAGCUCUGUCAUUAGGGACGAACGACCGCCUCAGGAAAUGGGGCGGAGUGACGGUACCCAAGAAGGAAGCCACGGCUAACUACGUGCCAGCAGCCGCGGUAAAGAGU